CUUGAAUCUGGGAGACGGAGGUUGCAGUGAGCCGAGAUGGUGCCACUGCACUCCAGCCUGAAUGACAGAGCGAGACUCUGUCUCAAAAAUAAAAUAAAAAAAUAACGUGGGGUACUUGAUGCCUUUGUCUGUAGCUUGGCCUCAGGCACCAUUUCUGGGGCAACAGAAAACUUCAUUCCAUGCCUCAUCCUGGUAUGCAUGCAAAAAUGUUCAUUGCCCCAUUAUCUGCAACCAUGAAAAACUGGAAACGACCCUCAGGCCUAACAGUAGGGGAGGGUUAUAAACUUUGCAAGAGCAGGAACAACAUCUGCCUUGUUCAUUGUUAGGUCUGCAGUGCCCAGCGUGGUGCCCUGCACACAGUAGGUGCUCAGGAAACAUCUGUGGAAGGAAGAGAAUAAAGGAGGGAGGAAGGAAAGGAGGGGGAAAAAAGGAAGAAGAAACUUUGAAAGUUCUUCCGGAAUCCCAGAAAGCAAACCCUUCCCUGCUUCCGCCGCACUGGAGAAGAUGCACCUUUUGGGGGGCUGUGACUGUUCAUUUUUAAAACUUCCAUCCAAUGCCCCCAAAACUUAAUUCCAUUUUGAGUGUUUUUCUUUUUUCAUUUUCAUCCUCCACUGUUUUUUUAACGCUCACUGUUGAAUUUCUCGUUUGGAGAGGCUGAUUGAAUUGUGGCUCAGGGGACUUGAGACAGUCACUUCAGACAUUUAGAGUUCCAAUCACGCUGUCGCCACCCCAGUCCCCCACCCUUGGCACCAGGGAAACUAUCUCUUAUGAGAGCUGAUUAUCUUUACAGCCUAGAACAUCACACUCUAAAACACAGGCUGUGCAAAUCAGAAUUCUCCGUGACUAAUGUACAUCCAGUGAAAAUAUCAAAAUGCCCAUUUAACAGGAGAGGGCUGAUUGGAAAAGCCCACCUGAUCUGCUGGUGAAGUUCCGUGGCUGAUGUCAUUUGAGAGUCACCGGGUCCAGGCCUGGGGAAGGCUGUGAGAUCACCUGUCUGGGGGCUACUCUGUCUCAUCCCUCAGGGCCCAGUCAGUGCCCACGGUCCUCCCUCCAGAGAGAGUGGCAGGCAGGGGAGGCCAGCGGACGGGGAGGCAGGCACAUCAAGUGAGCACCUACUGUGUGCUGGGCACUGUGCCAGGAAGGACCUCAUGCAGUCUGAGAACAACCUUGCCAGGUGAGAUUUAUUUAUCACCCUUUUGCAGAGGGAGCUUCCUAUGGGAUCUCAAAGGAUAAAGAGGAGUUAGUCGGGGGAAGUGGAGAGGCCUGGAAAGGCAUUCCAUGAAGAGGAGACGUCAUUGCAAAGAAACUCAGAAGACCUGGCAACAGAGGCUGGAAAUUUCUCAAAGCAACCAUCACCGAGGAUUGGCUGUCCCUUAGACAGGGGCACGCACUCUCCUGUUCACCACAGCCCCACCCUUGUCUAUUGGCUCCCAGAACCACAGGCAGGAGAGUGAGGCUGGUGAGACCCCCACAUAGCUGGGUCACCAGACUGGUCAGCGACAGAGCCGGGAUUCUAGCUCAGGCCCCUCUGCUUCCAAUGCCACCUGCUAUGCUGCCUCCCAGGUCUGGUGACUGUGUGUCAUGGUUCAUCUGGAGUUCACAAGCAGGCCAAGGGUGGCUCCAGGCCUUUCUUGCACAGGCAUUGAACGCGACCCUCCGACCUCUCUAUUGUUACAUCUUUUCCCCUGCUGAGACCUCAUCAGCCUCCGAUCUUGGCUGAGAUAUCAUGUCCUCCCACAAACCCUCCUGAGCCAGGAACCCUCUUCCCAGUGGGACUCACUACAGAGAGGACCCAGCCUGUGGUGAUGAUGAUGAAGAAGUGGAUGGCUACGGCCUUUCUAAUUUUCCCACCAAACUGUGAGCUUCCAGACAGCUGGCAUAGAAGUACCCAAAACAUGUUUGUAGAAUGAAUGAAUGGCCUUCACAAGCUAAGGAACCCAUGGCUUCUUCACUGUCACUGAUUAGCAGUGGGCCCUGGAGCUUCUCUGAGCCUUGGGCUUCACAUCCAGCACAUGGGGCUCACGAGACCUGUGCUUCCUGUGUCUGCCCCACUGAGCUCUCUCCACCCUGCUGCGGGCUUAUAGGCCCCCAGCUCACAGCUAGAGUGGGUUGAAUAAUGUCCCCCAAAAUUCACACCCACCCGAACCCUCAGAAUGGGACCUUAUUUGGAAAUGGAGUCUUUGCAGAUGUAACUAAGGUGAGGAUCACAAUGAGAUCAUAUUAGAUUAGAGUGAGCUCCAAAUGCAAUGACAGGCAUCCUUGUAAGAGACAGAAAAGGACACAGAGAAGGCCAUGUGGAGGUGGAGGCAGAGUUUGGGACGAUGCAGCAGCCAGCCAAGGAGCACCCAAGAAUGCUGGGAGCUACCAGAAGCCACAAGGGCCAAAGAGGAUCCUCCUCCACCAGACGCUCUGCUGAUACCUAGAUUUUGGACUUCUGAUCCCUUGAACUGUGAGAAAAUACAUUUGCUGUUUUAACUGAAGUUGGUGUGUCCACAUUACAGGCUGCUGAGGUGGCCUGGCCACACACCUGCCUGGUGUCGUCCCUACUUGGAGCAGUGAGGUUUGACUCCACAGGAUCACAGCUGCUGCAAAGCUGUCUUCACAUCACUGAGGGAAAUGGAAGGCAACCUUAGAAGUUUCAUCUCUAUCCUCUCCUGGCCCCAAAUUAUUGCCUGAGAACCUAAUUUCCUUUCUCCCUUUCUUCCUGUUUUCUGUCCCUUCUUUCCUUCCUCCUUCCCUUUCCUCCCGUCCUUUCCUGCCUGCCUGCAAUUGCCUUAGUCUCAUGCCCUCCAUCCCAUCUAGCUCCAGCCUCCCUCUUCAGUUCUACCUCCCACCCACUCCAAGCAAGCCCCUUCCCCCAGCCAACUCCUCCCAAGGCAGCCCCUGGCCUCCCUGCCGUGUCUCCCUCAGCAGGUUCCCUUGGUCUAUGGUGCUCCGCCUCACAGGCAUACGUGGAAAAUCUGCUCCUUCACGUGCAAGCUCAGAUCCCACCUCCUCCUGGCACACCCUGGCGACAGUACUUCCCUCUGACUUUCCACCACACCGGUGUUCACAUAAAUGUCUUCGUACCUGAUCUGUGCCAGGUGGACCUAGGGGCCAGGAAGUACAGUGACCUCGCCAUCUGGUAAGGGAGUGGGAAAUGAUGAAGAGACAGCGUUGACAGGUGGGCAGCAGAGGAGGAAGCAGCAGCUUUUGCAGGACAGGGAGGGCUGUGUCCAGGAGGGAAGGGCCACAGGGACAGAGCACAUGCUCCAAGAGACAGGGAAGUCUGGGUAACAGGAUUUGGGGUUCAAAGGGAAAUGAAAAUGGGGGCCAGGUCAUGAGGUCAAGUUAGCCAUUCUGAGGACUUGAUCCUGUCGACGUUGAGUGUUCUGAGUGUGGGCUCCAGCCCACCUACAUCAGAAUUACCUCAGGAGUUUGUGAAAAUGCAAUUUUUUUUUGAGACAGAGUCUCACUCUGUUGCCCAGGCUGGAGUACAGUGGUGCAAUCUCAGCUCACUGCAACCCCUGCUUCCCGGGUUCAAGCAAUCCUCCUGCCUCAGCCUCCCGAGUAGCUGGGAUUACAGGCAUGUGCCCCCACGCCCGGCUAAUUUUUGUAUUUUCAGUAGAGACGAGGUUUCACCAUGUUGGCCAGGGUGGUCUCCAACUCCUGGCCUCAAGCGAUCCACCUGCCUCAGCCUCCCAAAGUGCUAGGAUUACAGGUGUGAGCCAUCGCACACCCAGCAGUGAAAAUGCAAUUCUUGAGUCUCCACCCAGCUCGGGAUUUUUCACAAGCUCCUUGGAUAAUGGUGACGCACCUUUAGUCUGCCCAGAACAGGAGAGGAUGGAGGCAGACUGAGGGAUUCGAAAGGACCAAGUGUCACGAUCAGAUCCACUUUUUGGAAGAAACUGGUAGCACCAACUACAUACGUGUCUUAUGUUCUUGGUUCUGCCUCCAUGGUGCACACUGUCGGUGCCACCUACUCAGCAACUAUCCCUCCUUCUUCCUUGUUAACAGAAGCCCAAUUCUAUUCAGCAUCAAGUAAGUGGACAUUAAUAUAUUCAGGGAAGGGAGGCUCCACCCCUAGCCCUACAGGAGAGCCCUAUUUGUCCCUUUUGUCCCGUACAAACAUUCCAGACUCCCUUGCAGCAAGAAGUGGCAAUGUGACAGUUAUGGUCCAUGAGGCAUAAGGGACAAGUUGUAAGAUGACUCUGGGGAAACCUGGCCUGUUAACAUGGGCUCAGGUGAAGGAAAAGCUGGCGGGUGCUGGGCCUGCUGCUUCUUGACACUGCGCAUGUGAGGAAGGGCCAUCUCACAACCAAGAGACAGCAAGACUUCCAGCCAGGUGUGGUGGCUCACUCCUAUAAACCCAGCACCUUGGGAGGCUGAGGUGGGAGCAUCGCUUGAGCCCAGGAGUCCAAGAUCAGCCUAGGCAACAUCGUGAGACUCCCUCUCUACAGAAAAUUUAAAAAUUAGCUGGGAGUAGCGGCGUGUGCCAGCUACUCAGGAGGCUGAGGUGGGAGGAUUGCUUGAGCCCAGAAGUUUGAGGCUGCAGUAAGCCAUGAUUACAGCACUGUACCCAAGCCUGGGUGACAAAGUGAGACCCUGUCUCAAAAAAAAAAAAAAGAAAAGAAAAAGCCUCUAUGUGUGCAGGGUGCCAGAGCAGAAGGAUGCAAAGAACCUGGUUCUUGAGGACAUGGUUCAGCCACUACCCCAAAUCCAGAACCACCCCCUCGCCCCACCACCAAGAUUUCUUGUCCUGAGAUUGUUAGACUGUAACCACCUUGAGGGCAGGGACUCUGAUACCUGUACUCCUGGCACCUUGAACAGUACUUAGCACACAGUAGGUGCUCAAUAAAUAUCUGUUGACUAAGUUUUCAUAAAUAAGUAAAUGUCUCCAUUGCUUAUACCAGUGGGUUGAGGCUUCUGUUGCUUGUAGCCAAGGAAUCCUGACUCAGUAACUUCUCUCUCUGGCCCCAAGAACCUCCUGAGAACAGGAGAGGGGCUGGGUAUUACUGAACACUGUACUCCACAGGCCCUGGCACAAGACCCACACUCGGUAGAAAUAAGCAGCUCUUGCUCAGAGGAGUCACAGACCCUGCCCUGGACCUGGCUUCUGGGUUCACCAGAGCUGGAGGGUUGAGUCUGCAAGUUCCCCUCACACAGACCUAGGGCAAGACGCCCUGUAACAGCUGAUGAGAGGAGCUUAAGAAAGUCCACUGGGGGCCGGGCGCGGUGGCUCACGCCUGUAAUCCCAGCACUUUGGGAGGCCGAGGUGGGCGGAUCAUGAGGUCAGGAGAUCGAGACCAUCCUGACUAACAUAGUGAAACCCUAUCUCUAUUAAAAAUAGAAAAAAUUAGCCAGGCAUGGUGGUGGGCGCCUGUUGUCCCAGCUACUCAGGAGGCUGAGGCAGAAGAAUGGCGUGAAUCCGGGAGGAGAGCUUUCAGUGAGCCGAGAUCGCGCCACUGCACUCCAGCCUGGGCGACAGAGCAAGACUCCAUCUCCAAAAAAAAAAAAGAAAGUCCACUAGGUCUCCCACACCAGCGAUACCCAGAGGCCACACCAGCUGCAGGCUGAGCGGGUGGAAGCUGGCAGCAAGCACUGCCACUAGAUUUGUCUUGAGGUGAAAGAACUUCUGAGACUAGCCAGAUCCAACCUCCACACAAGUCAGGAAUUUUUAAGCCACUGUCUUCAAGUCCCUCCCAGUUCUAAGUGUGGCAGCCCUGGGAUGCCGCAAUGAGGGAUGAGGGACAGGGCAUGAGCCGCUCAA
This 5749-nucleotide long non-coding RNA is filed under the name Homo sapiens (human). RNAcentral describes it as "HSALNT0266521". The record is from RNAcentral. Lineage: Eukaryota; Metazoa; Chordata; Mammalia; Primates; Hominidae.